GGAAGUUUGAUGAGUUGGUUGAGGACAAAGGGGUGAAGAUCUUGAUCGAUCCCAAGGCUCUCAUGCAUGUGAUAGGAACCAAGAUGGAUUUUAUUGAUGACAAACUGAGAUCUGAAUUUGUGUUUAUCAAUCCAAAUUCUGCGGGCCAAUGUGGCUGUGGGGAGUCCUUCAUGACGAUCAGCAGCUCUGAAGCAGCAGCAGCUAAACGACCGGGGACUUGAGUUGUAUUAGCUUCCUCAACACAUCAAACAAUGUUUUACAUCAAUUACACCUAGACUAGAACUACCAAACACUUUGCUCAUUAGGAUCGCACUAGAGACUAUGUAACUUCCUCUGUAUUGUGUCUUUUUAGGCUUUUAAUGAUGAUGUAAAUCCUUCCAUCU
Non-coding RNA from Salvia hispanica, 383 nucleotides. NCBI's taxonomy places the organism in Eukaryota, Viridiplantae, Streptophyta, Magnoliopsida, Lamiales, Lamiaceae. The record is from RefSeq and is a predicted model, not a curated record.